GGAGUGUAGCUUAAUAGGUAGAGCGUGUGCUUUGCAAGCAUAAGGUUGCUGGUUCGAUGCCAGUUUCUUC
RNAcentral lists this transfer RNA (70 nucleotides) under uncultured Pelagophyceae. It matches the Rfam family "tRNA". From Rfam's summary of the family: Transfer RNA (tRNA) molecules are approximately 80 nucleotides in length. Their secondary structure includes four short double-helical elements and three loops (D, anti-codon, and T loops). Further hydrogen bonds mediate the characteristic L-shaped molecular structure. tRNAs have two regions of fundamental functional importance: the anti-codon, which is responsible for specific mRNA codon recognition, and the 3' end, to which the tRNAs corresponding amino acid is attached (by aminoacyl-tRNA synthetases). tRNAs cope with the degeneracy of the genetic code in two manners: having more than one tRNA (with a specific anti-codon) for a particular amino acid; and 'wobble' base-pairing, i.e. permitting non-standard base-pairing at the 3rd anti-codon position. Lineage: Eukaryota; Pelagophyceae. The record is from RNAcentral.